UUCCGGUUGAUCCUGCCGGACCCCACUGCUAUCGGGAUGGGACUAAGACAUGCUAGUCGAGCGUCUCCAAGCUAUGGAAGAGACGCGGCAUACAGCUCAGUAACACGUGGCUAACCUGCCCUUGGGACAAGGACAACUCCGGGAAACUGGGGCUAAUCCUUGAUAGGUGAGAACUCCUGGAAUGGAUUCUUGCUGAAAGGACGUUUAGACCAUGCUUCUAGGCGUCGCCCAAGGAGGGGGCCGCGACCGAUCAGGUUGUUGGUGAGGUAACGGCUCACCAAGCCUUUAACCGGUACGGGCCGUGAGAGCGGAAGCCCGGAGAUGGGCACUGAGACAAGGGCCCAGGCCCUACGGGGCGCAGCAGUCGCGAAAACUCCGCGAUACACGAAAGUGUGACGGGGCUAUCCCGAGUGCCAUCCGCUGAGGAUGGCUUUUCCCCAGUGUAUAAAGCUGGGGGAAUAAGGAGAGGGCAAGCCUGGUGUCAGCCGCCGCGGUAAUACCAGCUCUCCGAGUGGUGGGGAUGUUUAUUGGGCCUAAAGCAUUCGUAGCCUGCUUGGCAAGUCCUCCGUUAAAUCCAACGAUCUAAUCGUUGGGCUGCGGGAGAUACUGUUGGGCUAGGAGGCGGGAGAAGCCGACGGUAUUCUCGGGGUAGGGGUGAAAUCCUGUAAUCCCGGGAGGACCACCAGUGGCGAAGGCGGUCGGCUAGAACGCGCUCGACGGUGAGGGACGAAAGCUGGGGGAGCGAAUCGGAUUAGAAACCCGAGUAGUCCCAGCUGUAAACGAUGCGGGCUAGGUGUUGGGGUGGCCACGAGCCACUUCAGUGCCGCAUGGAAGCAAUUAAGCUCGCCGCCUGGGGAGUACGCCGCAAGGCUGAAACUUAAGGAUUGGCCGGGGGAGCACCACAAGUGUGAGCUUGCCGUUUAUGGACUCAACGCCGGAA
RNAcentral lists this ribosomal RNA (940 nucleotides) under uncultured archaeon. Its description in RNAcentral is "bacterial SSU rRNA". It matches the Rfam family "Archaeal small subunit ribosomal RNA", at positions 1 to 923 of the family's 1478-position model. The record is from RNAcentral.